GAUCUCAGUUGACGUCAGAGGUGGGUUGUUAGAGACACAAGUGCUCCUGGGCUGGAGAGCCAUUUUGUGUCUGGCAUACUACAAGCGGGAAGACUUACAUACUGGAGUCCAGAGCGAGCUACGGAUCCCGACCCCCUUACGAAAGCGGUAAAUGACGAUGAGGGAAAAAACACCACCCAUGCACCGUGACUCUUGUCCGCUAGACUGCAAAGUCUAUGUAGGAAAUCUUGGAAACAAUGGAAAUAAAACGGAACUUGAGCGGUCUUUUGGCUACUAUGGACCUCUUCGUAGCGUGUGGGUUGCCAGGAAUCCCCCUGGCUUUGCAUUCGUAGAAUUUGAAGAUCCUAGAGAUGCAGCUGAUGCGGUUAGAGAGCUUGAUGGACGGACAAUGUGUGGAUGUCGCGUUAGGGUUGAAUUAUCGAAUGGUGAAAAACGAAGCCGUAAUCGCGGUCCUCCGCCAUCUUGGAACAGGAGGCCUAGGGAUGAUUACCGUAGGAGGAGUCCUCCUCCAAGACGCAGAGUCACCAUCAUGUCUCUUCUCACCACCCUCUGGGUCUACAUUAGACAGUCAACUAGCCCUUUCAGCGUCAUGUGACCAGCGCGCCCCAUUCAGCUUGGCUGGUGUCGUAUCACAUGACCCAGGCAUGGCCAGUCAUCAGGUUGCACCGCACUUUGGUUACCGAGCAUGCUGUCCACUCAGCCUUCCUACUCUCCAACCUUAACCAAAACUCGGCAGCAGCCCACCUUCAGCGCCCACACAUUACCGGCCAAUCUGCACAGCUGUUAACUUUGACAAAAUGUCUUCACAACAACUGCAGCACCAGCCUACGGCUAACCAAAAAAGCAGGAAAAACCACAUCAUCCCCCUUCGCAAACCAUCUAAAUUCAACGCAACACCUGGCAAAACUUAUCUACAAAUUCUACUUGGCCACCUGUCCGGCAUCUUCGCCAUUUCUAGCUUGUUGAAACCCCAAAAACUAAUCUCCAAGGAGAAGGAGCUUUUCCCGUAGCCGUAGUAGGUCCCUUUCUAGAGAUCGUAGAAGAGAGAGAUCUUUGUCCAGAGAAAGGAACC
Rana temporaria (common frog) is the source of this 1072-nucleotide RNA transcript. It is a transcript of the gene named serine/arginine-rich splicing factor 3, with no coding region annotated. The transcript has 6 exons. The record is from RefSeq and is a predicted model, not a curated record. NCBI's taxonomy places the organism in Eukaryota, Metazoa, Chordata, Amphibia, Anura, Ranidae.